GAGCGGAAGAGGCGGUGCCCAGAGGGUCAUCCUCCGCAGCCAUUGGAGGAAGGCCGGGAGCUAGGCGGGGAGGUCGCGGGUCUCGUUAGGGGCUCUUGAGUUGGUCACCUACCUUUCUGGGACGGGCCUCAGGGAGCUGAGUGGGCAGCGGUUUGUGCGAGCCACAGCUAGGCGGGGAGCCCGGGCAUCUUUGCGUCGUACCUGUGAGCCACGUUACUGCUUAUCUUGCAAAAGUUACAAGUCUGUCUUAAGCCCGCACACCGCUUGGGUGAGCCCGUCCAUUCGUCUUGACUUGACUUGACUUGAAUUAUAAGUGACUACAAGUCUUUAUUUCCAGCCCAGAAAUCUCUCCUGAGCUAUUGAGUCGCUAUCCGGGCGCUCCUUUGGUUAUCGAUUUGGGUUUUACUCAUUCAGCAGACAUUUGCUGCACGUCCUCCGUGUACCAGGCAUCUUGGUCAGUGCUACAGGUGCAGUGGUGAACGGGAUGAGAAGGGUUCCUGCUUUUAGGGCACUCACAGUGUAGUGGUGGAAGCUAACUGUAAUCAGAGAAACAGGUCAAUCAUACUAAUAAAUAGAAAAUCUCUAACUGAAAGAAGUGACCUGAAGUUAUAGGAACUUCAAAAAGAAAACCAAUUGGACUGGACACAGCUAAGCAAUAAAGCUGAGUAACGUAGGUGGAUAUGAGGGUGGAGAGAAACCUCUGAAACAUUCCAAUGAGGAGGACAGAAGAUGCAAAGGCCCUGAGUUGGAGACCAUGCUGGGACACCAAGAGAGGAAAGUGGAAUUUGGGGAGCAGAGGGGCUGGUAAGAGAUGAUGCUAGGAAGGGGGCAGGGGCCAAAUCACACCUUGAGAGCCAGGGGCAUCACCCCUACAGGGCAGGAGAGACUGGCGCAGUGAGACACGCCCCCGGGGCCAACAUCACACAGCUCAUCAACGCUGGAACUGGGAUUUGAAUCCAGGUCUGUUGGCCAGCGCUGCAGAACCAACCGGCCGGGAGCCAGACGGGUGGGUAAGGACAUCAUCCUGGCCCCUCCAGCCCCAGCUGAGUCACAAGCGAUGGCAGCUCUUCCACUCCAGGGGGGGCCAGCAGAAGAACUGCUCAGCUGAACUUGACCCCAAAUAGCUGACCCACCACUGAGAGCAAAAACAUGACUGUUUUAUGCCCUAAA
Long non-coding RNA from Herpailurus yagouaroundi (jaguarundi), 1170 nucleotides. RefSeq lists it as uncharacterized. The transcript has 3 exons. Lineage: Eukaryota; Metazoa; Chordata; Mammalia; Carnivora; Felidae. The record is from RefSeq and is a predicted model, not a curated record.